GGUGGUGCUAUCGGUGGUGGAGGCAUUAAUUGAUUGUGGUAAUGGAUUUGGUGACAUAAUCGUGGCUAAUCAGUAAAACCUUAUGAGAUGAAUUAAUCAUGCGCAAUGAAUUAGGAAUCUACCAUUGUUGAGAGCUUGCUGCUUUGGGUUCCUUUAUCAACUUCUAAAUAUUGUACCUAUCCGAAUAAUUCCUUUUAUCAGAUUUUUCGUAAUGUUGCUUAAAGUUAGCAACCAUAUGUUCAUUAUUUUUAUGGUAAACUAGUUAGAAAUGUAAUCGGAGAAGAUGAUUCU
RNAcentral lists this unclassified non-coding RNA (291 nucleotides) under Hevea brasiliensis (rubber tree). The record is from RNAcentral. Lineage: Eukaryota; Viridiplantae; Streptophyta; Magnoliopsida; Malpighiales; Euphorbiaceae.